AGCAGCCGCGGUAAUUCCAGCUCCAAUAGCGUAUAUUAAAGUUGCUGCAGUUAAAAAGCUCGUAGUUGAAUUUCGGAACCAAUAUGUUGGUUGUGCCUCGGUACGUACUGGCAUUGUUGGUUUCUCUCUUCUGACGAACUAUGAUGUCAUUAAUUUGGUGUCAUGGGGAAUCAGGACUGUUACUUUGAAAAAUUAGAGUGUUUAAAGCAGGCUCACGCUUGAAUACAUUAGCAUGGAAUAAUGAAAUAGGACGUUUGAUUCUAUUUUGUUGGUUUCUAGGAUUGACGUAAUGAUUAAUAGGGAUAGUUGGGGCAUUAGUAUUCAAUUGUCAGAGGUGAAAUUCUUGGAUUUAUUGAAGACUAACUACUGCGAAAGCAUUUGCCAAGGAUGUUUUCAUUAAUCAAGAACGAAAGUUAGGGGAUCGAAGACGAUCAGAUACCGUCGUAGUCU
RNAcentral lists this ribosomal RNA (450 nucleotides) under uncultured Glomeromycotina. Its description in RNAcentral is "SSU rRNA". It matches the Rfam family "Eukaryotic small subunit ribosomal RNA", at positions 569 to 1026 of the family's 1831-position model. The record is from RNAcentral. Lineage: Eukaryota; Fungi; Glomeromycota.